CCUGGUUGAUCCUGCCAGUAGUCAUAUGCUUGUCUCAAAGAUUAAGCCAUGCAUGUCUAAGUAUAAACAAAUUUAUACUGAAAACUGCGAAUGGCUCAUUAAAUCAGUUAUAGUUUAUUUGAUAAUAUCUUACUACUUGGAUAACCGUGGUAAUUCUAGAGCUAAUACAUGCACAUAGUCCCGACUUUUUGGAAGGGAUGUAUUUAUUAGAUAAAAAACCAAUCCAGUGUUUACACUGGUUUUGAUGACUCAUAAUAACUUGACGAAUCGCAUUGCUUUAUGCAGGCGAUGAAUCAUUCAAAUUUCUGCCCUAUCAGCUUUCGAUGGUAGGAUAGAGGCCUACCAUGGCGGUAACGGGUAACGGAGAAUUAGGGUUCGAUUCCGGAGAGGGAGCCUGAGAAACGGCUACCACAUCCAAGGAAGGCAGCAGGCGCGCAAAUUACCCAAUCUCAACACGAGGAGGUAGUGACAAUAAAUAACAAUACAGGGCUUUUUCAAGUCUUGUAAUUGGAAUGAGUACAAUUUAAAUCCCUUAACGAGUAUCAAUUGGAGGGCAAGUCUGGUGCCAGCAGCCGCGGUAAUUCCAGCUCCAAUAGCGUAUAUUAAUGUUGUUGCAGUUAAAAAGCUCGUAGUUGGAUUUCGAGAUUGGUUAGCAGGUCUGCCUUUUGGUAUGUACUUGUUAGCCAGUUUCUUUGUCCGGGUAGAGGUCUGGCUUUCGGGUCGGGCCGCUGUUCGGGCCAAUUACUUUGAAAAAAUUAGAGUGUUCAAAGCAGGCUUAUGCUUGAAUAUAUUAGCAUGGAAUAAUGGAAUAGGACUUGAGUUCUAUUUUGUUGGUUUCUAGAACCCAAGUAAUGGUUAAUAGGGAUAGUUGGGGGCAUUAAUAUUUAAUUGUCAGAGGUGAAAUUCUUGGAUUUAUGAAAGAUUAACUUCUGCGAAAGCAUUUGCCAAGGAUGUUUUCAUUAAUCAAGAGCGAAAGUGUGGGGAGCGAAGCCGAUUAGACACCGACGUAGUCCACACCCUAAACAAUGCCGACUAGGGAUUGGAGAGUGUUAUUUUAUGACUUCUUCAGCACCUUCCGAGAAAUCAAAGUUUUUGGGUUCUGGGGGGAGUAUGGUCGCAAGGCUGAAACUUAAAGGAAUUGACGGAAGGGCACCACCAGGAGUGGAGCCUGCGGCUUAAUUUGACCCAACACGGGAAAACUUACCAGGUCCAGACAUAGUAAGGAUUGACAGAUUGAGAGCUCUUUCUUGAUUCUAUGGGUGGUGGUGCAUGGCCGUUCUUAGUUGGUGGAGUGAUUUGUCUGCUUAAUUGCGAUAACGAACGAGACCUUAACCUACUAAAUAGUUACACGUAUCCUAGAUACGUGGCCAACUUCUUAGAGGGACAAUGUGAGUCAAUCAUAUGGAAGUUUGAGGCAAUAACAGGUCUGUGAUGCCCUUAGAUGUUCUGGGCCGCACGCGCGC
Molecule: ribosomal RNA, 1463 nt
Filed under: metagenome
Description: SSU rRNA
Rfam family: Eukaryotic small subunit ribosomal RNA
Source: RNAcentral